UACGUAGGGGGCGAGCGUUGUCCGGAUUUAUUGGGCGUAAAGCGCGCGUAGGCGGCCGGGCAGGUCCGUUGUGAAAACUGAAGGCUCAACCUGCAGAGGGCGAUGGAAACCGUUCGGCUAGAGUCCGGAAGAGGAGAGUGGAAUUCCUGGUGUAGUGGUGAAAUGCGCAGAUAUCAGGAAGAACACCCGUGGCGAAAGCGGCUCUCUGGGACGGUACUGACGCUGAGACGCGAAAGCGUGGGGAGCGAACAGG
RNAcentral lists this ribosomal RNA (253 nucleotides) under uncultured bacterium. Its description in RNAcentral is "partial 16S ribosomal RNA". It matches the Rfam family "Bacterial small subunit ribosomal RNA", at positions 524 to 776 of the family's 1533-position model. The record is from RNAcentral.